Molecule: ribosomal RNA, 415 nt
Filed under: uncultured Desulfosporosinus sp.
Lineage: Bacteria; Bacillati; Bacillota; Clostridia; Eubacteriales; Desulfitobacteriaceae
Description: bacterial SSU rRNA
Rfam family: Bacterial small subunit ribosomal RNA
Source: RNAcentral
GCCACAUGACGGUACCCAAGGAGGAAGCCCCGGCUAAACUACGUGCCCAGCCAGCCGCGGUAAUACGUAGGGGGCCAAGCGUUUUCCGGAAUUAUUGGGCGUAAAGGGCGCGUUGGCGGAUUGUUAAAUCCGGUGUGAAAGAUCAGGGCUCAACCCUGAGAGUGCAUCGGAAACUGGGAAUCUUGAGGACAGGAGAGGAAAGUGGAAUUCCACGUGUAGCGGUGAAAUGCGUAGAUAUUUGGAGGAACACCCGUGGCGAAGGCGACUUUCUGGACUGUAACUGACCCUGAGGCGCGAAAGCCUGGGGAGCAAACAGGAUUAGAUACCCUGGUAGUCCACGCCGUAAACGAUGAUUGCUAGGCGUAGAGGGUAUCGACACCCUUCUGUGCCGCAGUUAACACAAUAAGCACUCCGC